Molecule: ribosomal RNA, 257 nt
Filed under: Nucleospora salmonis
Lineage: Eukaryota; Fungi; Microsporidia; Enterocytozoonidae
Description: partial small subunit ribosomal RNA
Rfam family: Microsporidia small subunit ribosomal RNA
Source: RNAcentral
UAGAUAUCCUGGGCUGCAAGUGCAAUACAAUAUCCAUGUCGAUCAAGAAAGGUGAUUAUGGAUGAGCAGGAUUAGCUCUUGUAAAUGAGCUAUGAAUGAGGAAUUCCUAGUAACAGUGUCUCACUAAGGCAUUGUGAAUGCGUCCCUGUUCUUUGUACACACCGCCCGUCACUAUUUCAGAUGGCCAUGAAGAUGAAGAGCUUCGGUUCUGAAUAUUCAUGUCUAGAUAAAGUACAAGUCGUAACAAGGUUGCGGUC